UAGCGCAAUCUUAACGAUGGAUGUCUUGGUUCCUAUAGCGAUGAAGGCCGCAGCAAAGUGCGAUAUGCAAUGAAAAAUGCAAUUACUGUGAAUCAUCAGAAUGCUGAAUGUAAAUUGUACCA
Plasmodium adleri (nom. inval.) is the source of this 122-nucleotide ribosomal RNA. RefSeq annotates it as 5.8S ribosomal RNA. The annotation marks the transcript as partial. The transcript has a single exon. The record is from RefSeq and is a predicted model, not a curated record. Lineage: Eukaryota; Apicomplexa; Aconoidasida; Haemosporida; Plasmodiidae.